This 217-nucleotide long non-coding RNA is filed under the name Elaeis guineensis (African oil palm). RNAcentral describes it as "long non-coding RNA (EGUI_LNC019363)". The record is from RNAcentral. Lineage: Eukaryota; Viridiplantae; Streptophyta; Magnoliopsida; Arecales; Arecaceae.
AUACUUUAAAAUCUGUGCAAGGGCCUUGUUGGGUCCUAUCCAAAAUGGGCUGAGUAAAAUUGGUUUAGGGUAUUACAUUCUUUCCUCUUAAAAUAAAAUUUCAUCCCAAAAUUUUUUAUCAAAAAUUUUCAAACUUUAAAGUUUCAUAAUCAUGAUCUCGUUUCCUAUAAGAAUAAGGUUCAAUACUUCGUGACUUGAUUCUUCUUAUAGAUCAUUA